CCUACGGGAGGCAGCAGUGGGGAAUCUUGCGCAAUGGGCGAAAGCCUGACGCAGCCAUGCCGCGUGUAUGAUGAAGGUCUUAGGAUUGUAAAAUACUUUCACCGGUGAAGAUAAUGACUGUAGCCGGAGAAGAAGCCCCGGCUAACUUCGUGCCAGCAGCCGCGGUAAUACGAAGGGGGCUAGCGUUGCUCGGAAUUACUGGGCGUAAAGGGAGCGUAGGCGGACAUUUAAGUCAGGGGUGAAAUCCCGGAGCUUAACUUCGGAACUGCCUUUGAUACUGGGUGUCUUGAGUGUGAGAGAGGUAUGUGGAACUCCGAGUGUAGAGGUGAAAUUCGUAGAUAUUCGGAAGAACACCAGUGGCGAAGGCGACAUACUGGCUCAUUACUGACGCUGAGGCUCGAAAGCGUGGGGAGCAAACAGGAUUAGAUACCCUGGUAGUCCACGCCGUAAACGAUGAUUGNUAGUGUCGGAGNUGCUCUCGUGCGCAGCUACGACAUAAGUACACUCCGCCGUGGGAGGUACGGUCGCGAGAAUAAACUACAAGAGUAGUAGACGNGNGAGACGCGACGACGACGACGACGAGGGAGGAG
Molecule: ribosomal RNA, 590 nt
Filed under: uncultured bacterium
Lineage: Bacteria
Description: bacterial SSU rRNA
Rfam family: Bacterial small subunit ribosomal RNA (bases 1-511)
Source: RNAcentral